AGUCGAACGGUCUUGUUUCGGCAAGAUAGUGGCAGACGGGUGAGUAACGCGUAGGAACUUACCCUCUGGCGUGGAAUAGCUCAUCGAAAGGUGGGGUAAUACCGCAUAAGUUCCAACCUAGUUGGAAGAAAGAGCGUAACUGCUCACCAGUGGAAAGGCCUGCGUCCUAUCAGCUUGUUGGUGAGGUAAUGGCUCACCAAGGCAUUAACGGGUAGUUGGUGUGAGAGCACGACCAGCCACAGGGUCACUGAGACACGGGGCCCACACCUACGGGUGGCAGCAACCGGGAAUAUUGCGCAAUGGGCGAAAGCCUGACGCAGUGACGCCGCGUGGAGGAUGAAGGCCUUCGGGUCGUAAACUCCUUUUCUGAAGGAAGAUGAUGACGGUACUUCAGGAAUAAGCACCUGCAAACUACGUGCCAGCAGCCGCGGUAAUACGUAGGGUGCAAGCGUUAUCCGGAUUUACUGGGCGUAAAGAGUAUCGUAGGCUGAGUAGCAAGUUCUAGCUCAAAUUCCAAGGCUUAACUUUGGACCGGGUUAGAAUACUGUUAUUCUAGAACUAGGUAGGGGAUGCUGGAAUUCCUGGUGGAGGGGUGAAAUCCGUUGAUAUCAGGAGGAACACCGAGGGCGAAGGCAAGCAUCUGGGCCUCAGUUGACGCUGAUGGACGAAAGCUAGGGUAGCAAAAGGGAUUAGAGACCCCUGUAGUCCUAGCCGUAAACGAUGUCCGCUAGUUUGUCCGAUUUUUUAAUUGGACUGACGUAAGCUAACGCGUUAAGCGGACCGCCUGGGGAGUACGACCGCAAGGUUAAAACUCAAAGGAAUUGACAGGGGAUCUGCACAACCAGUGGAGCAUGUGGUUCAAUUCGAUACGAAGCGUAGAACCUUACCUGGGCUUGACAUGUUACUGCACGCCCUUCGAAAGAGGGGAAGCCUUAGAGGGUGUAACACAGCUGCUGCAUGGCUGUCGUCAGCUCUAGUCGUGAGAUGUUCCCUUAAGUGGGGUAUAGAGCGCAACCCUUAUCCUGUGUUGUAUAUCACAGGAAACUGCCUCAGUUUAACUGGGGAGGAAGGAGAGGAUGACGUCAAGUCAGCAUGGUGCUUACGUCCAGGGCGACACACAUCCUACAAUGGAUGCUACAAUGGGUUGCUAAGCCGUAAGGUGGAGCUAAUCCCAAAAAAGCAUCCUCAGUUCGGAUUGUGGGCUGCAAUUCGCCCACAUGAAGUCGGAAUUGGUAGUAAUCGCGGGUCAGCAGACCGCGGUGAAUACGUUCUCAGAUCUUGUACACACUGCCCGUCAAGCGAGGAAAGUUGGGGGUACCCGAAGCUGUU
Molecule: ribosomal RNA, 1329 nt
Filed under: uncultured bacterium
Lineage: Bacteria
Description: 16S ribosomal RNA
Rfam family: Bacterial small subunit ribosomal RNA
Source: RNAcentral